Molecule: transfer RNA, 83 nt
Filed under: Candidatus Woesearchaeota archaeon
Lineage: Archaea; Nanobdellati; Candidatus Woesearchaeota
Also listed under: 1 other name
Description: tRNA-Gly
Rfam family: tRNA
About the family: Transfer RNA (tRNA) molecules are approximately 80 nucleotides in length. Their secondary structure includes four short double-helical elements and three loops (D, anti-codon, and T loops). Further hydrogen bonds mediate the characteristic L-shaped molecular structure. tRNAs have two regions of fundamental functional importance: the anti-codon, which is responsible for specific mRNA codon recognition, and the 3' end, to which the tRNAs corresponding amino acid is attached (by aminoacyl-tRNA synthetases). tRNAs cope with the degeneracy of the genetic code in two manners: having more than one tRNA (with a specific anti-codon) for a particular amino acid; and 'wobble' base-pairing, i.e. permitting non-standard base-pairing at the 3rd anti-codon position.
Source: RNAcentral
ACGGCAGUGGUCCAGCGGUACAAAGCGCUAAAAGACUGGGGCUUCCCAAGCCUCUAACCCGGGUUCAAAUCCCGGCUGCCGUA